GAUGAACGCUGGCGGCGUGCCUAAUACAUGCAAGUCGAGCGAACAGACGAGGAGCUUGCUCCUCUGACGUUAGCGGCGGACGGGUGAGUAACACGUGGAUAACCUACCUAUAAGACUGGGAUAACUUCGGGAAACCGGAGCUAAUACCGGAUAAUAUAUUGAACCGCAUGGUUCAAUAGUGAAAGACGGUUUUGCUGUUAUUAAUAGAUGGAUCCGCGCCGCAUUAGCUAGUUGGUAAGGUAACGGCUUACCAAGGCAACGAUGCGUAGCCGACCUGAGAGGGUGAUCGGGCACCCUGGAACUGAGAAACGGCACACACUCCUACGGGAGGACGCAGUAGGGAAUCUUCCGCGAUGGGCGAGAGCUUGACGGACCAACGCCGGGGGAGUGAUGAAGGUCUUCGAACCGUAAAACGCUGUUAUUAGGGAAGAACAAAUGUGUAAGUAACUAUGCACAUCUUGACGGUACCUAAUCAGAAAGCCACGGCUAACUACGUG
Molecule: ribosomal RNA, 497 nt
Filed under: uncultured bacterium
Lineage: Bacteria
Description: partial 16S ribosomal RNA
Rfam family: Bacterial small subunit ribosomal RNA
Source: RNAcentral